UGCUCGUAGGCCAGUUGAAUCUUCAGCCGCUGUAGUUCGGUCUUCUCCUGCCCAAGGGUCAUGGACAGUUCUUCUAUGAUCCCCCUCAAGGAGCAGAGCUCGUCAGAGCCUUGUGCAGAGACGGCCUAAACUCUCUCGGACAACUACCUCUGAAGGCGGGCAACCUCAUCGGUCGCUGUCUUGAGCUUCCUUCGAUAAUCGUCUACUUGUCUGCACCAGCUGACUCAAUAGGCGUUGUAGUUUGCCUCGGCAUCCUACAGCUAUUUCUGAAGGUCGAAGAAUUUCUUCGACCAGUCUCGAUCGCGGUCAGCGUGAGUUGUGAGCC
Molecule: long non-coding RNA, 325 nt
Filed under: Elaeis guineensis (African oil palm)
Lineage: Eukaryota; Viridiplantae; Streptophyta; Magnoliopsida; Arecales; Arecaceae
Description: long non-coding RNA (EGUI_LNC069376)
Source: RNAcentral